AUACCUACCGGUCCGGUCUGGUAUGAACGGACAAGGCAGAAGCCAGAGAUCCGUCUGGUGAACAGUUAAGCUAGCGAAAAGCUCUGACGUGAUAUAAGUUCUCAGGUUACUGUGGUUAUUGGGGAGGUCCCUUCCUGGUGGAGAAAAGGUGUGGCUGAAGGCUAAGGAAGCUUAAAUGCUGGAACCAACCCAUUGGGCCAAACCAUGUGCUGCAAUGUCAAGGGGGUCCUCAUGGAUCAUGGCUACAGCGAGAUCAGGGAUCAUGGUUGUGCCUCCUGCUGUGGUCCUGCUCAAUGUCCACUGCCAGUACUAUUGAUAUUAUGAGUACAACCCCAAACCAAUGGACUGACAGAAUGCUCCAACCAUACUCUGAAGCGAUAACUGACUCCUGCUGGUGCUCAAGUGGACUGUGAACUUAGCCACAUCUCAGAAGACAAACAGCUUCAGAAUUCCUGAAUGCCUGCUGCCUGGCUAAAAAAAAGAGGUUGACCUGAUGCUGUCCCUGGGAAUCAUGGAGACUGAGGAGCAAGCGUUGUAACCCAGUGGUCCUGAAGAAGGAUGGCAUUAUACAGUUUGCAUAAACUUCAGGUACCUGUGUGUACUUUAAUUUAUUUAUUAUUAUUUAUUCUUGGUUUGACUGAAGAAUUGAUGACAUGCUUGUACAACUGGGAAUAGCCAAAGUCAUGGCCACAUGAAGCCCACCCCCCUCUGAUUGUUGUCCAGAGAGUCCUGUAUGGCCACAGCCACCGGGUAAUAUCACAGGUUAAUUACAUUUGCAUUUAAUUUAAUUUGCAGAGACCUCUCAAUAAUCACUUAUGGCUAAGCUAAGUGUGUGACAAUGUCUGCAGGAAGUC
Long non-coding RNA from Larimichthys crocea (large yellow croaker), 854 nucleotides. RefSeq lists it as uncharacterized. Lineage: Eukaryota; Metazoa; Chordata; Actinopteri; Sciaenidae. The transcript is spliced from 4 exons. The record is from RefSeq and is a predicted model, not a curated record.